GGCGAAUGAAGGCGAUGGAAACGACGGUAGAGGGCUUGAAGGCGGAGACCAUGGGUUUACGGCAAGAACUUAGAGAGUUCAUGCGAAUGUUUGGAGAACGAGGACAAAAUACUGCGAGCCAUCGAGAGGGAAGUCAGGAUUCAGUGAAUGGAAUCAAAGGGGAACGACGAGAAGAUGACGAAGAAGAUACGAGUGGCGCGCAACCAAACUAGGUGAAGAGGGUCGAGUUACCAACCUUUGAAGGAAUUGAUCCGCUAGGGU
This 261-nucleotide long non-coding RNA is filed under the name Vigna radiata. Its description in RNAcentral is "long non-coding RNA (VRAD_LNC015494)". Lineage: Eukaryota; Viridiplantae; Streptophyta; Magnoliopsida; Fabales; Fabaceae. The record is from RNAcentral.